UCUGGGACAAGCCCUGGAAACGGGGUCUAAUACCGGAUAUCACCCUCACGGGCAUCUGUGAGGGUCGAAAGCUCCGGCGGUGAAGGAUGAGCCCGCGGCCUAUCAGCUUGUUGGUGAGGUAAUGGCUCACCAAGGCGACGACGGGUAGCCGGCCUGAGAGGGCGACCGGCCACACUGGGACUGAGACACGGCCCAGACUCCUACGGGAGGCAGCAGUGGGGAAUAUUGCACAAUGGGCGAAAGCCUGAUGCAGCGACGCCGCGUGAGGGAUGACGGCCUUCGGGUUGUAAACCUCUUUCAGCAGGGAAGAAGCGAAAGUGACGGUACCUGCAGAAGAAGCGCCGGCUAACUACGUGCCAGCAGCCGCGGUAAUACGUAGGGCGCAAGCGUUGUCCGGAAUUAUUGGGCGUAAAGAGCUCGUAGGCGGCUUGUCACGUCGGGUGUGAAAGCCCGGGGCUUAACCCCGGGUCUGCAUUCGAUACGGGCUAGCUAGAGUGUGGUAGGGGAGAUCGGAAUUCCUGGUGUAGCGGUGAAAUGCGCAGAUAUCAGGAGGAACACCGGUGGCGAAGGCGGAUCUCUGGGCCAUUACUGACGCUGAGGAGCGAAAGCGUGGGGAGCGAACAGGAUUAGAUACCCUGGUAGUCCACGCCGUAAACGGUGGGAACUAGGUGUUGGCGACAUUCCACGUCGUCGGUGCCGCAGCUAACGCAUUAAGUUCCCCGCC
RNAcentral lists this ribosomal RNA (724 nucleotides) under Actinomycetes bacterium. RNAcentral's name for it is "bacterial SSU rRNA". It matches the Rfam family "Bacterial small subunit ribosomal RNA", at positions 137 to 873 of the family's 1533-position model. Lineage: Bacteria; Bacillati; Actinomycetota; Actinomycetes. The record is from RNAcentral.